UACGGAGGGUGCAAGCGUUAUCCGGAUUCACUGGGUUUAAAGGGUGCGUAGGUGGAUUGGUAAGUCCGUGGUGAAAUCCCCGAGCUUAACUUGGGAACUGCCAUGGAUACUAUUAAUCUUGAAUGUCGUGGAGAUGAGCGGAAUAUGUCAUGUAGCGGUGAAAUGCUUAGAUAUGACAUAGAACACCAAUUGCGAAGGCAGCUCGUUACGCGAAUAUUGACACUGAUGCACGAAAGCGUGGGGAGCGAUCCGG
Molecule: ribosomal RNA, 253 nt
Filed under: uncultured bacterium
Lineage: Bacteria
Description: partial 16S ribosomal RNA
Rfam family: Bacterial small subunit ribosomal RNA
Source: RNAcentral